CGGACUGGAGUCUGCAACCCGACUCCNCGAAGUUGGAUUCGCUAGUAAUCGCGCAUCAGCCAUGGCGCGGUGAAUACGUUCCCGGGCCUUGUACACACCGCCCGUCAAGCCAUGGGAGCCGGGGGCGCCUGAAGUCCGGGACCGCGAGGACCGGCCUAGGGCGAAACUGGUAACUGGGGCUAAGUCGUAACAAGGUACC
RNAcentral lists this ribosomal RNA (199 nucleotides) under uncultured bacterium. RNAcentral describes it as "partial 16S ribosomal RNA". It matches the Rfam family "Bacterial small subunit ribosomal RNA", at positions 1294 to 1500 of the family's 1533-position model. The record is from RNAcentral.